GAAGGAGAAAGGCCCGGUCCUGCGAGGGGAUUUGUGAGGAGUAAGAAUGAGAGGGCGAGGAGAAAGAGAAGGAGAAGAGAGGGAUGAGACACCACUGGGAUGUAGUCUUGAGUAUGCCAAGAGCUGGGUGAUCUGCUACAUAGUCCAGUGCUCCUAUCGCCUCCGCUGAGAUCACCACUGACCAUUAGCAUCUCUGCCAUCUGUCAGCCUGCAGACGAGGCGCUCAGCCUCCUUGCCACAUUGUCCUCACUUGCUCAUUGUCUUUGCCUCCGUCUGCCCCUUGUUAUUUAUGGAACCGAGGAGUACAGAGAAGAAGCCUGGAGCUAAACUAUGCCCACAGCCAAGCUGCCCAAGAGAUUUCGCAAAGGCCUUGUCAGGGACAGAAAGCCUUCUGUCACCUCUGCCACACCACCUCCCCUGCCUACUACUCCAACCUAUUUAACAUUUUUACGCGAUGAUGAAGUGAUGACUUAGUGUACUGGCUCAUAUUGUGACAUGUAUUUCUCAUCCUCCUUCAAGUUACGUUCUUCCUUUCAUAGUGGUCACACCUGGACAGUCUGAUGCACAUUUAUGAGUAGACAUGUCUAAAAUGUUGCAUUUUAUCUUCCUGUCAGUAAUAGAAGCUGGAGUCCGGAUCAUUGAAC
Molecule: long non-coding RNA, 644 nt
Organism: Archocentrus centrarchus (flier cichlid)
Lineage: Eukaryota; Metazoa; Chordata; Actinopteri; Cichliformes; Cichlidae
Exons: 3
Source: RefSeq, a predicted model, not a curated record